UUUAAAAUCUUUGAAUUAGCUGCUAAUUAUUAAUAUCUUUAUAGCCUACCUGAUUAUAAAAAGGUUAAAUUUACUGGACUGACUUCACUAUUAAUUCAUUUUUAUUCAUGUGCAAACAUGGCAUUACUUGUCCCUUUUUUCAUUCUGUUCUACCAUCAUGAGAUUUUUGUUUAUUUUUUGAGGUUGUUUACUUCCUUGAUCCGACAGCCAAUGUUGAUGUUCAAUAAUUAUCUUGAAGAAUUUCCAACAUGGCAGGG
RNAcentral lists this long non-coding RNA (257 nucleotides) under Bos taurus (domestic cattle). RNAcentral's name for it is "long non-coding RNA NONBTAT020252". The record is from RNAcentral. Lineage: Eukaryota; Metazoa; Chordata; Mammalia; Artiodactyla; Bovidae.